GGAAACAGGUGCUAAUACCGUAUAACACUAUUUUCCGCAUGGAAGAAAGUUGAAAGGCGCUUUUGCGUCACUGAUGGAUGGACCCGCGGUGCAUUAGCUAGUUGGUGAGGUAACGGCUCACCAAGGCCACGAUGCAUAGCCGACCUGAGAGGGUGAUCGGCCACACUGGGACUGAGACACGGCCCAGACUCCUACGGGAGGCAGCAGUAGGGAAUCUUCGGCAAUGGACGAAAGUCUGACCGAGCAACGCCGCGUGAGUGAAGAAGGUUUUCGGAUCGUAAAACUCUGUUGUUAGAGAAGAACAAGGAUGAGAGUAAAAUGUUCAUCCCUUGACGGUAUCUAACCAGAAAGCCACGGCUAACUACGUGCCAGCAGCCGCGGUAAUACGUAGGUGGCAAGCGUUGUCCGGAUUUAUUGGGCGUAAAGCGAGCGCAGGCGGUUUCUUAAGUCUGAUGCGAAAGCCCCCGGCUCAACCGGGGAGGGUCAUUGGAAACUGGGAGACUUGAGUGCAGAAGAGGAGAGUGGAAUUCCAUGUGUAGCGGUGAAAUGCGUAGAUAUAUGGAGGAACACCAGUGGCGAAGGCGGCUCUCUGGUCUGUAACUGACGCUGAGGCUCGAAAGCGUGGGGAGCGAACAGGAUUAGAUACCCUGGUAGUCCACGCCGUAAACGAU
This 671-nucleotide ribosomal RNA is filed under the name uncultured bacterium. Its description in RNAcentral is "bacterial SSU rRNA". It matches the Rfam family "Bacterial small subunit ribosomal RNA", at positions 152 to 810 of the family's 1533-position model. The record is from RNAcentral.